UGUUUUAAUUGAAGUCACCUGGCCCUUGC
This 29-nucleotide non-coding RNA is filed under the name Rattus norvegicus (Norway rat). Lineage: Eukaryota; Metazoa; Chordata; Mammalia; Rodentia; Muridae. The record is from RNAcentral.